AUUGAACGCUGGCGGCAUGCCUUACACAUGCAAGUCGAACGGCAGCAUGGAGAGCUUGCUCUCUGAUGGCGAGUGGCGAACGGGUGAGUAAAGCAUCGGAACGUACCGUGUAGUGGGGGAUAACGUAGCGAAAGUUACGCUAAUACCGCAUACGCACUGAGGUGGAAAGCAGGGGAUCGCAAGACCUUGCGCUAUACGAGCGGCCGAUGUCAGAUUAGCUAGUUGGUAGGGUAAAGGCCUAACAAGGCGACGAUAUGUAGCGGGUCUGAGAGGAUGAUCCGCCACACUGGGACUGAGACACGACCCAGACUCCUACGGGAGGCAGCAGUGGGGAAUUUUGGACAAUGGGGGCAACCCUGAUCCAGCCAUGCCGCGUGAGUGAAGAAGGCCUUCGGGUUGUAAAGCUCUUUCGGCCGGGAAGAAAUCGCACAGGCUAAUACUCUGUGUGGAUGACGGUACCGGCAUAAGAAGCACCGGCUAACUACGUGCCAGCAGCCGCGGUAA
RNAcentral lists this ribosomal RNA (504 nucleotides) under uncultured bacterium. Its description in RNAcentral is "partial 16S ribosomal RNA". It matches the Rfam family "Bacterial small subunit ribosomal RNA", at positions 30 to 523 of the family's 1533-position model. The record is from RNAcentral.